This 472-nucleotide ribosomal RNA is filed under the name uncultured Desulfovibrio sp. Its description in RNAcentral is "bacterial SSU rRNA". It matches the Rfam family "Bacterial small subunit ribosomal RNA", at positions 916 to 1381 of the family's 1533-position model. The record is from RNAcentral. Lineage: Bacteria; Pseudomonadati; Thermodesulfobacteriota; Desulfovibrionia; Desulfovibrionales; Desulfovibrionaceae.
ACGGGGCCCGCACAAGCGGUGGAGCAUGUGGUUUAAUUCGAUGCAACGCGAAGAACCUUACCUGGGCUUGACAUCCCGGGAAUCCCCUGGAAACAGAGAAGUGCUUUAGCAAUAAAGAACCCGGUGACAGGUGCUGCAUGGCUGUCGUCAGCUCGUGUCGUGAGAUGUUGGGUUAAGUCCCGCAACGAGCGCAACCCUCGCCUUUAGUUGCCAGCAUUCAGUUGGGCACUCUAGAGGGACUGCCGGUGUCAAACCGGAGGAAGGUGGGAUGACGUCAAGUCCUCAUGGCCUUUAUGUCUAGGGCUACACACGUACUACAAUGGCCGGUACAAAGGGCAGCCACUCAGCGAUGAGGCGCUAAUCCCAUAAAGCCGGUCUCAGUCCGGAUCGCAGUCUGCAACUCGACUGCGUGAAGUUGGAAUCGCUAGUAAUCGUAGAUCAGCAUGCUACGGUGAAUACGUUCCCGGGCCUU